Molecule: long non-coding RNA, 408 nt
Organism: Suricata suricatta (meerkat)
Lineage: Eukaryota; Metazoa; Chordata; Mammalia; Carnivora; Herpestidae
Exons: 6
Source: RefSeq, a predicted model, not a curated record
AGUGUCCGCCCCGAGGCGGGGCUCCCCUCAGCUUCGAGCUGUCCUUUCCUCUUCGGCCUCGGCUCUGGCUGGAGUACCCGGGCCGAGCUCCAGACACGUGCAUAGGGGCCAGCCGUGGGCUUUGGAUAGAUGCUGCCCCAGGAUGAUUUGAAAGUAGGACAUCCUUGGCCCUCCUGAAGAGAAGAAAUUCCUGGCAGGUGGCCUGUCUGUAUGGCAUUCUCAGAUAAAUCCCAAGCAUGGUGCCUGGCACAUGGCAGGAACUCCCUGAAUGUUGGACAAAAUGACUGAAGGCAUGGAUGCCUUUACCUGAGUGAGAAAUCUGCCUCCAUCAGAACCUCAGAUGUCUGAGAGCCCUAUGUGACACCAGGAGAAAGAGAGUGCAAGCAGGGGAGAACAGAUGAUUCAAAG